This 36109-nucleotide long non-coding RNA is filed under the name Pelobates cultripes (western spadefoot toad). Lineage: Eukaryota; Metazoa; Chordata; Amphibia; Anura; Pelobatidae. The record is from RNAcentral.
GUGAGCUACACAUUACCAUUUGAUGAGAUUAAUCAAGGAUUUCAUCUUCUUCGUUCUGGGAUGAGGUUGGUAAUAAGGAGCACUAAAUCCAUAGUAUUAAUUCUAUUAUUUGUAAAUAAUAGUAACACAAAGAAUAGACAGGAUUUUCACUUCAUAUGAUUGGUAUAACUCAUUUUUUAUUGUGCACAUAAUAUCACAUUCUUUCAGCUCAUGAGAAGUUGUUUUUUUUUUCUUCUUCUUAUGAUCAAGUGUAAACAGAUCUAUAAACAGGUGCCUUUUUAUAGGACAUUAGGGGUAGACAAUGAUUUUAAAAAUACAGUUAUUUCAGGGUAUUCCGAACCAAAUUUUUCCAGAGUCUGUAAAAUAUGUUGGAGUUUGGAGCCUGCAUCAAAAGCCUUACUUCAGUCUAAACUAAUUAAUGCCUUCUGAACGGAUUGCCUGGAAUCAUCCAGUUCUAACGAUUCUUCCAUAAUUGUGGUCCUUUUAUUAACUUCUUAGAUAAAGAACUUAAGGAAUAAAUUCAGAGACCUUUUCCAUAUCGAAUACAAAGAGUGUUACUUAGAUACACUCCUACCAAUGCUACUUACUGAACAUACUUUUGCUGCUUAAGAGUACAAUCACCUUAAAUUGGAAAUUCACUUUGAAUUCUCAUUUUAGUGAAUAAACCUGUCUGUGUGGUGUGGAGCACUUUUACUAUGCAUAUUACACUAUGAAAUGUGUAUCCUUUUGUUUCCACUGUAGAUCUGUCCUUUAAUUGUCCAUAUUAGGAGAGGUGUGUUGUGUGCACUUUACUGGGUGUGACAAAUGAUAUAUCGAGUGGGAAGAUACAUGUGUUUCCACUCACAUUCAUUGUGGCAGUCAUACUGGAGGCAAUGGAAGAAAUGUUUAACCUAAUAUAAUAACAACACAGUAUUUAACAAGGAACAGUACAUUCAGAUUACUCUGGUUUCCAAGUACGUGCUGGGGAUGUUCCUUUUGCCCAACAUCCAGGGGAUGUUACUAAAUAUCUUUUAAUCUAUGUAUAACAGAUUUAUUUAAUCAAUCAUUGUUAGCAGGAGAUUGGAAGUUAGCAAAUGUUGUGCCCAUUCACAAGAAAGGUAGUAGGGAGGAGUCGGGCAACUAUAGGCCAGUAAGUCUUACUUCAGUAGUGGCGAAAGUAAUGGAAACCAUGUUAAAGGAUAGGAUUGUUGAACAUCUAAAAUCACAUGGAUUUCAAGAGAGAGAUCAUUCCAAUCUAAUCUUAUUUUUUUUGAUUGGGUAACUAAAAUAAUAGAUCAGGGUGGUGCAGUAGACAUUGCUUACCUAGAUUUCAGUAAGACUUUUGACACUGUUGCAUAUAGAAGGCUUAUCAAUAAACUGCAAUAUUUAAGUUUGUAUUCCAAUAUUGUUCAAUGGGUAAGGCAGUGGCCUAGUGACAGGCAACAGAGGGUUGUAGUCAAUGGAGUAUAUUCGAAGCACGGUCUUGUCACUAGUGGGGUACCUCAGGAAUCUGUACUUGGAUCCAUUUUCUUUAAUAUUUUUAUUAGUGAUAUUGCAGAAGAUCUUAACGGUAAGGUAUAUAUUUUUGCUGAUGAUACUAAGAUAUGCAACAGGGUUGAUAUUCCAGGAGGGAUAAGCCAAAUGGCAAAUGAUUUAAGUAAACUUAAAAAAUGGUCUGAGAUGUGGCAAUUGAUAUUUAAUGUGAAUAAGUGCAAGAACAUUUAAUGUGAAUAAGUGCAAGAUAACUUCAGCUCAAUGAAGUGGUCUGGGUGCCAGGUCCCUCUAGUUUUAACCCUGCAGCUGAAAACAUAGUUUCAGAGAACCCUAUGUUUACACUGAGGGUUAAUCCAGCCUCUAGUCGCUGUCUCCCUGACAGCCAUUAUAGGCCACGUCUGCGAUUCUCACUGUGAAAAUCACAGUGAGAAGACGCUGAUGUCCAUAGGAAAGCAUUGAGCAAUGCUUUCCUAUGGGCGGUUUGCAUGCGCGCGCGGCUCUUGUCGCGCAUGAGCAUUCAGCGCUGACGUCGGCAGGAGGAGGAGAGUUCCCCAGGGCUGAGGGAGUCCGGUGCUGGAGAAAGGUAAGUGGACCUAAGGACAACAUAGUGCCAGGAAAACGAGUUUGUUUUCCUGGCACUAUAGUGGUCUUUUAAGAGAGAGUUCAGAGAAGGGCUACUAAACUGGUUCAUGGAUUGCAGGAUAAAACUUACAAGGAAUGGUUAAAGGAUCUCAUCAUGUAUAGCUUGGAGGAAAGACGGGGGGUGGGUAUGAUAGAAACAUUUAAAUACAUAUAGGGAAUCAACAUAGUAAAGGAGGAGACUAUAUUUAUAAGAAGAAAAACUACCACAACAAGAGGGCAGAGUCUUUAUUUAGAGGGGCAAAGGUUUAAACAUAAUAUCAGGAAAUAUUACUUUACUGAGAGGGUAGUGGAUGCAUGGAAUAGCCUUUCAGCUGAAGUUGUAGAGGUUAACACAGUGAAGGAGUUUAAGCAUGCGUGGGAUAGGCAUAAGGCUAUCCUAGCNNNNNNNNNNNNNNNNNNNNNNNNNNNNNNNNNNNNNNNNNNNNNNNNNNNNNNNNNNNNNNNNNNNNNNNNNNNNNNNNNNNNNNNNNNNNNNNNNNNNGACUGCUAUUCAAUCUAUAACAGUGAAAAAAGUUUUUUGUUUUUAAAUCCAAGCUAUUGUGACACCAGAUGUAAGUGGUGGCACUGACUGGGGGAAUGGGCACAGUAUCCACUGUGAGCCUGACACAGAAGCUGGCAGCAGUGGCAGACAACCGACUGCUAUCCAAUCUAUAACAGUGAAAAAUGUUUUUUGUUUUUAAAUCCAAGCUAUUGUGACACCAGAUGUAAGUGGUGGCACUGACUGGGGAAAUGGGCACAGUAUGCACUGUGAGCCCGACACAGAAGCUGGCAGCAGUGGCAGACAACUAAGUGCAAUUACAUUACAUAGAAAAAAUAAAAAGCAUACCCUUAUCCCUAACCUAGCCAUGCUUUUCCCUAUCUUAUGAACAGCAGCUACACUUUCCCUCCUCUUACUAAGCAUGCAGCUUGAGAAUGAAUCUAAAAUGGAUGCUGUCCAGUAGGUGGGAGGGUCUGCUAGGGAGGCUGUGCUGCUAAUUGGCUGGAAUGUGUCUGCUGACCGUGAGGUACAGGGUCAAAGUUUACUCAAUGAUGACGAAUAGGGGGCGGGUCGAACCGCGCAUAUGUUCGCACGCCGUGGCGAACGCGAACAUGCUAUGUUCGCCAGGAACCGUUCGCCGGCGAACCGUUCGGUACAUCACUAAUCUUAUCCAUCACUCCCUCCUCCACACUGACAUGCUGUUUCCCCCCAUUGUGUUUUUUCUUUAUUAGACUGUAAGCUCUCUUAAGUAGGGUCUUCAACACCUCUUUUCUCUGUUAAUGAUCUGUAUGUGAUUUACUUGUUGUCAAAUAUUCUUAUUUUAUUAUUGUAAAGCGCUGCAGAAUAUGUUGGCACUAUAUAAAUUCUGCAAAUAAUAAUAAUACUAGCAGCUCUACAAGAUUAGUUUGGCUGUGUGUUAAUUGAUUAAUAGCUGACACCAAAAUCAGCCACAACAAAUGAGAUUUGAGGAAAAAUUAGAAGGUCCUAAGCAGUAUCUGUGAUUCAAGAUACACACAAAGACAAGUAAGAUCUUCAGUGUGGCAAAUAUGCUGUUUCAGUAUGCUCAUCAGUAGUAUUUACUUUUGUUAGUUUCUAAUUUCCACUUUUUUUAAAAUGUAUUUAUUGUUUAUUUUCUCUUUUCAUAGAAAGCAGCUCUGGAGUCUUGCCACUUGGGGUAUGGAACCAGCGUGAUUAUUGGAGAAGCUCCAUCUGCAGAGUUAAUCUCUUUUGACCCACUCCUGCUGUUUACAGGACGGACAUGGAAAGGGAGCAUUUUUGGAGGUACAUUUUAUUAAAGGCAGUAAAAAGUUUUGUUGCUAUUGUUUUAGUACUAGUGUAUAUGUUGAGCUCUGUGAAACUUUGUAUAAUGCGUUCUCCAGUCACAAAAUUAUCCAACUGUUAAAUAGAUUCCCAUUAGUGAUGUCCCGAACGGUUCGCCACGGACUCAUCAUUGAGUAAACUUUGACCCUGUACCUCACAGUCAGCAGACACAUUCCAGCCAAUUAGCAGCACACCCUCCCUACCAGAUCCUCCCACCUCCUGGACAGCAUCCAUUUUACAUUCAUUGUGAAGCUGCAUUCUUAGUGAGCUGUCCAGGAGGUGGGAGGGUCUGGGAGGGUCUGCUGCUGAUUGGCUGGAAUGUGUCUGACUGUGAGGUACAGGGUCAAAGUUUACUCAAUGAUGAGUCCGUGGCGAACCGUUCGGGACAUCACUAAUUCCCAUACAACAGCACACACAUGCAAAACAGGUGUUGUCUUGAGCACACCUAAUGCAACUGAUCAAGGGCUUCAUUGGUUGCUCCAGGUGUGCUUGAACUGGAACACAUGAAAUACCUGAACUGGCUAAGGGUUUGUUGAGUGUCACGUUUGACUGAAUGUUAGAAAUAUGUCAAAAGAAUAGUCCACAAAGUUACAAGAAUUAUCACCUUUCACAAAAAAAAGAACAGGAUACAAAAAGGCAGGGAAGUCACUGAAUGUCCACUGGAAGCACAGUUUGCAAGUUCAGAGUUGAAGAAACAGUGGUUACACUACUUGGAUGGGGCAGAAAAGGGAAACUAUCAAUGACUGCAACCAGAUUUCUGAAAAGGCAGGCUGUGAAAAAUCAUUGAGUGACUGCAAACGACCUGCAGCAAGACUUGGUGGCAGCAGGCACUGAGGUUUCCAUGCCAGAACUCCACUACUGACCCAAAAGCACAAGAAAAGUUGUUUGCAAUAUGCUCAGAAUCAUACAAAUAAGUCACAGAAGUUAUGGGAUUAUGGAGCGAUGAAACAAAACUGGAACUUUUCAGCCCAGUGGAUCAGUGGUAUGUCUGGAGGAAGGGAACACGCUGCCUACAGUUAGGCAUGGUGGUAGCUUAGUGAUACUGUGGGGCUGCUUUGCAUUAUCUGGCACUGGAAACCUGAAGAGUGUGGAAGGCAAGAUGGAUUCCUUGAAGUAACUUGAAAUCCUAUGAGAAAAGGUGAAGCUUGGGCGUCAUUGGACCUUUCAACAAUACAAUGAUCCCAAGCAUACCUCAAAUUCCACCAAGGCGUUUUUGCAGAUGAAGUCCUGGAAAAUUCUAUAGUGGUCAAGACUUAAACUUCAUAGAAAAUCUUUGGGGGUAUUUGAAGACGUCGGUUGCAGCACGCCAACCCAAGAAUAUUACUGAACUGGAGGUCAUUGGUCUUGAUCAAUGGGCUAAAAUCCCUCAGAAAUGUUGCUAGAAGCUGGUGUCUGGUUGAGCAUCUUGUUUGCUGCAGGCCAUAACAGCAAAAGGGUGCAAUGCUAAGUACUAAAGAUGUUUUAUGGAAGGUGUUAAAUAAUUUUGAGACUGGAGAAGUUAUUAGAAGUUGCAUUUUCUGUUGAAUUUAGGUAAACCACUUUAAGCAUUUGUUGUGUUGAGCUAUUUCAAUUGCUUUUGUUUGAUUUGUUCAUUAAAACAUUUUGACAAUAGAGGGCGGGGCCUGGGCAUCAUGGCGGCUGGCUGCACAUAGAGUAAGCUCCCAGCUUGACUCACAUACUCCGACUAUUUUGCUGACAGCCAGCUCGCCACAAACAACUUACCCAGCUACAUACCAUUGUCUGGUGCCCUGGGGGGAAGCUCCUGAGACUUUGUGCGACUUACCAACUUGAAUUUCCCACGGAGAUCCCACUGCGGUCUACAAUCGCUGCAGGACGGGUUACAUAGUUACAGAGCUGAAAAGAGACUUGCAUACAUCAAGUUCAGUCUUCCUCACAUUUGUCUUUUGCUGUUGAUCCAAAAGAAGGCAAAAAAAACCCAGUUUGAAGCACUUCCUAUUUUGCAAUAAGCUAGGAAAAAAAAUCCUUCUUGACCCCAUAAUGGCAGUCGGAUUUAUCCUUGGAGUAAGCAAUUUUUACCAUACUUGAAAGCUUAUAUCCUUGAAUAUUCUGUUUUUGCAAGUAUGCAUCUAGUUGCUGUUUGAACAUCUGUAUGGACUCUAAUAAAACCACUUCUUCAGGCAGAGAAUUCCACAUCCUUUGUGUUCUUACAGUAAAAAAACCCUUUCCUUUGCCUUAGACAAUCUCAUUUCUUUCAGUCUAAACGCAUGACCUUGUGUCCUAUGUAAAGUCCGGUUUGUGAAUAGAUUUCCACACAAUGGUUUGUAUUGGCCCCGAAUAUAUUUGUAUAAUGUUAUCCCUCUCAGGUGAUGUUUUUCUAAACAAAAUAGGUUUAAAUCUGUUAACCUUUCUUCAUAGCUGAUAUGUUCCAUUCCUUUUAUUAAUUUUGUAGCCUGCCUCUGCACUUUUCUAGUGCCAUAAUAUCCUUGUUUAGAACAGGUGCCCAAAAUUGCACAGCAUGUUCAAUAUAUGGUCUUACAAGUGAUUUAUAAAGAGGCAAAAUUAUAUUCUCAUCCCGAGAAUGAAUGCCCUUUUUCAUGCAUGACAAUACCAUACUGGCCUUAGCCACUGCUGAUUGACAUUGCACAUUGUUGCAUAGUUUGUUGUCUAUAACAAUUCCCAAUUCCUUUUCGAGUGUUGUUAGCCCUAAUUCGCUUCCAUUAAGGAUAUACGUUGCUUGUGUAUUCUUUACGACGAAGUGCAUAACUUUGCAAUUUUCAACAUUAAAUUUCAUCUGCCAUUUGAGUGCCCAGUCCCCCAGUCUAUCUAAAUCCCUCUGCAGCAAAGUAAUAUAUUGCUCACAUUUUAUUAUUUUACAGAGGUUUGUGUCAUCUACAAACACUGAAACAUGACUUUCAAUGCUUUUUUCAAGAUCAUUUAUAAAACAUGUUAAAUAGAAGAAUCCCAGAACAGAACCCUGAGGGACACCACUUGCCACCUCUGUCCAGCUUAAAAAUUUACCAUUAAUGACAACUCUUUGUACUCUAUUUUUAAGCCAAUGUUCUACCCAAGAACAAGCAUUUUCAUCUAGACCGAUUUCCUUGAGUUUGAACACUAAUCUAUUGUGUGGAACUGUAUCAAGUGCCUUGGCAAAUUACAAAUAGAUCACAUCCACUGCAACACCUUGAUCUGUACUUCUACUUACUUCUUCGUAGAACGCAAUCAAGUUAGUUUGACAUGAUCUGUGAUUCAUAAAACCAUGCUGAUUUUUGCUGNNNNNNNNNNNNNNNNNNNNNNNNNNNNNNNNNNNNNNNNNNNNNNNNNNNNNNNNNNNNNNNNNNNNNNNNNNNNNNNNNNNNNNNNNNNNNNNNNNNNACAUGGUAUGGGUCCCUGGGGCGGAGUAUUUGGAGAGCAGGGUGGGCUAAUGCUCCAACAUCACUAGUUGCUGUGUAACAGACCACAAUUUAGAUCUGACUUAAGAGUUCACUAAUUGGCACUCACCUGUAGCUGGUCAAUUAGUAGACAGGCCUUUAAAAGAAGAGGGCAGCCUGCUGCAGAGUGAGGGAGAAAAAGACAGCUAGGAGAGUGAAUGGCAAUUGUGUUUAUUGCAAAGCCAUUUCUUUUUUUUGGAAAAUUGGUAAGUGGGAAAGCCACCCAAUUACAGAUAGUAAUUCCUGUCUAGUAAGAGCUCAAGUAAGAGCAAGGGAUUUUGUUUGUUUGUUAUUAUUUAAAGCACCUGUUUUCUUAUUGAAUAAAAAGGAAAACCGAGCUGAAUGUGUCCUGGACUUUGUAUACCCUAGAAGGCUGUGGUUACUGCAAGAUCUGUGACAAUCCUACCUGUAAAAGAGGUGGUUUGUUACAUAUGGUGGAGAAUGCGGGCAGCCACGUAAGCCUGAGGGUAGAAGUCAUUUAAAGCUCAACAUGGAGGAUGUUAUCAAGGCUCUGAUCCAAUCCACCUCUGUGCAACAGUAGGCUAACAGGAGAGCUGCAGAAAACAGUGCAGCCCUGCAGCAACUGGUGCUGGCUCAGGCAGAGUGUGCUAAAGUCCUGACCAAAACACAGAUGGAGUGCACUGAGUCCUUGGUGAAACAGAUUGUUGUGACACAAGCGGAGAUGUUUAAAGUAGCCCGUGAGGAGCAGCAAAAAGUCACCCAGGGACUACAACAGGAAAUCCAAGCUAUCUCUGAAAAACUGAAUGGAGACCCUGAUGGAAGAUACCAGGGACCAAAGGUGAUUCGAGCGAGCCACUAUCUUCAGAAGAUGACCGCAUCAGAUGAUGUGGAGGCGUACCUUCUGGCAUUUGAGCGCACUGCUGAAAGGGAGGGAUGGCCGGCUGGUGAGUGGGCAAGCAUACUGGCACCGUUCCUAAGUGGAGAACCACAGAAGGCAUAUUAUGACCUAGAACCAGCCGAUGCAAGUAACUACAGCAAAUUGAAAGCUGAAAUCUUGGCACGACUGGGUGUAACCUCUGCAGUACGUGCCCAAAGGUUCCACUCAUGGUCAUAUUCUUCAGACAAAGCCGCAUGUUCCCAAAUGUUUGACCUCAUACACCUUGCACGGAAAUGGCUACAACCUAUAAUCCAUUCAGCUAGCCACAUUGUGGAAACCUUAGUAAUGGACUGGUUUUUGCAUGCCAAAGUGACCCCCAUACAGCUGACCAACUGAUUGCCUUGGUGGAAAGAUAUGUGGCUGCAGGAGAACUGCUAUGUCCUACUUCACAGGAAAACCCCCGCAAUCCUAAGCCCCACGAUUCUGCGAGACCUGGUAAGACUGUUCAAGGUUUAAGGGGAGCUUAAGAGCUGCAGCUCUAUACACAAAACACCAGGGGGGCAUCCAGGUCUAAUAGGCCUGUGAGAGGAACUAAUUGGUGGUCAGAUUUUACUGUCAAAUGUUUCAAGUGCAAAGAGGAUGGUCAUAUGGCCAAAGACUGUCCAUUGAAGGAUGAACCUAUGGAAUGCAAUAUGGGCAAAGAUGAGGGAGCACGUUCAUUUUUGCUCAACUGUUAUGGUACUGUUAACAAUGACUAUGAUAAUAACCCUCAUAAAUGCUGUGUAACUGUGAAUGGAAAAAUGUCUAAAGCAUUACUUGAUUCAGGUAGUAUGGUUACGUUGGUAGCAGAGUCUAUAAUACCUUGUGUAAAACCUGAUCAUGUACAGAAAAUAGGCAUUAUCUGUGUUCAUGGUGAUAAAAAGGAAUACCCCACUGCGGAAGUAAAUAUUGGAACCCAGUAUGGGGAUUAACCAGUAUUAAUAGGAGAUAACCCAGCUCAAACUAGUGAGGAGCCUACUAAUACUGCAGACAAGGAUAAGGACUUAAUUGAUAUUGGAAUCAGUCCAGGUAAUUUUAAAAGUGCUCAGUGGGAAGAUCCCACUUUAGUGACAGCUGGAAAUUAUAUUAAAGUUGUAAAUGGGGUUGCUAAUCAGCCAGGAGAAGCCCUACCGUUCCCCUAUUUUGAAGUACAAAAUGACCUAAUUUACCGUGUAGAAAAAAGGGAUUCAGGCAUCAUUAAAGGACCACUUUAGUGCCAGGAAAACAUACUCGUUUUCCUGGCACUAUAGUGCCCUGAGGGUGCCCCCACCCUCAGGGACCCCCUCCCACCCGGCUCUGGAAGGGGGAAAGGGGUAAAAACUUACCUUUUUCCAAUGCUGGGCGGAGAGCUCUCUGCCUCCUCUCCUCCUCCGUUACGCCCCGCCGGCUGAAUGCGCACGCGCGGCAAGAGCUGCGCGCGCAUUCAGCCGGUCUCAUAGGAAAGCAUUUACAAUGCUUUCCUAUGGACGCUGGCGUGCUCUCACUGUGAAAAUCAGUGAGAAGCACGCAAGCGCCUCUAGUGGCUAUCAAUGAGACAGCCACUAGAGGAUUAGGGGGAAGGCUUAACCCAUUAAUAAACAUAGCAGUUUCUCUGAAACUGCUAUGUUUAUUAAAAAAUGGGUUAACCCUAGCUGGACCUGGCACCCAGACCACUUCAUUAAGCUGAAGUGGUCUGGGUGCCUAGAGUGGUCCUUUAAGCAGAUGUUGGUUCCUCAGACUUACCAAAAUACUUGCUAAAGUUGGCUCACAGCCACAUAUUAGGGGGACACUUGGGAGUCGAAAAAACUAGAGAGAGAGAGAGAGAGAGAGAGUCCUUAGAAGGUUUUACUGGCCUGGAGUGUUUGCUGCUAUUACAAACUAUUGCUCCUCAUGUCCUGAGUGCCAGUACAGGGCUCCUUUCAAGACUUUUCGUAGUCCACUUGUACCCUUACCCAUAAUUAAUGUGCCUUUUGAAAGGAUCGCUAUGGACUUAGUGGGGCCACUGGUAAAGUCUGCUAGGGGACACCAAUAUAUAUUAAUAAUCUUGGACUAUGCAACUCGCUACCCUGAGGCCAUUCCCUUGCGUAAUACCUCUGCAAAGUUAAUAGCUAAGGAACUUGUGUUGAUGUUCAGUAGGGUGGGUAUCCCUAAAGAAAUCCUGACAGACCAGGGGACCCCGUUCAUGUCCAGAGUCACAAGAGUUGUGCAGGCUCUUGCAGGUUAAACAUCUUAAGACCUCAGUAUAUCACCCACAGACUGAUGGUUUAGUAGAGAGGUUCAACAAAAUCCUUAAGAGUUUGCUAUGCAAGGUAAUUGAUGCAGUUGGAAGAAAUUGGGAUUUUUUAUUGCCAUAUCUACUGUUUUCCAUUAGGGAAGUUCCACAGGCCUCCACGGGCUUCUCUCCUUUUGAAUUGUUAUAUGGAAGACAUCCCAGGGGAAUAUUGGAUAUUGCUAAGGAGAUCUGGGAAGAGGAGACUACUCCUCACAGGAGUGUAAUUGAGCAUAUAGCUCAAAUGCAGGAUAGAAUGGCCACCAUCAUGCCUAUUGUCAGGGAAGACAUGCUGGAAGCCCAGCAGGCUCAGAAAAACAGCUAUAACCAUAAUGCUAGAUUCAGUGUUCCAACCUGGAGACAGGGUAUUGGUUCUGGUCCCUACUGUGGAGAAUAAGUUCCUUGCGACUUGGCAUGGACCCUAUGAAAUAAUAGAAAAAGUGAGUGAUGUCAAUUAUAAAGUCAGACAACCAGGAAGAAGAAAGCCUGAACAGUUGUAUCAUAUAAAUCUGUUAAAGCCAUGGAAGGAUAGGGAGGUCCUGGUUGCUUUAAAACCUUCAGAACCUCCUAUAGUAGAGCCAGAGGUGAACGUAUCUGAGAUGCUGUCUGUACAUCAAAAGCAAGAGGUCAGAUAUUUCAUCAGAAGAAAUAGGGAUGUUUUCUCGGUAGUUCCAGGAAAGACUAAGGUGAUUAAACAUGACAUAAUAACCGAACCAGGGAAAAGAGUUAACCUCAAACCCUAUAGAAUUCCUGAGGCCCGGAGGGAGGUUAUAAACUUAGAGGUUGAGAGCAUGUUAAAACUUGGAGUCAUUGAAGAAUCCCAGAGUAACUGGAGUAGUCCUAUUGUAUUGGUGCCAAAACCUGAUGGCACAUGGAGGUUCUGUAAUGACUACCGCAAGUUAAAUGUCAUCUCAAAAUUUGAUGCUUACCCAAUGCCCAGAGUUGAUGAGUUAAUAGAAAGACUGGGUAAAGCUCGUUAUCUAACAACCUUGGGUUUAACAAAGGGUUACUGGCAGGUCCCUCUCACUGAAAGAGCCAAAGAAAAGACAGCCUUUUCAACACCCAGUGGCCUGUUUCAGUACACUGUACUGCCAUUUGGGUUACAUGGGGCACCUGCCCAGGGCCGUCUUUAAUAUUGAUUGGACCCCGGGCAAGCAUCUGUUUGGGCCCCCUGGGCAUGCAAUCACUCCCUCCACCCCAACCUAGAGGCGAAACUAAUGUAGAGAGUGCCUUGGUGCAACAAAAAAAAAUUCAGGCCUGCCCUGUAGCACAAGAGUAAAGAAAAGAUAGAUCCCCAUCUGUCAUACAACUCCUGCAAAGCUAUGCCAGCUGGGGAUCUACCAUCCUUGCAGGGUUGUAUUUUUGAGCAGUGUUUGUGCAAAUGAAUGUCAGCAUGUUAUUGUAUAGAGUGUAUGUGUGCAUGUAGGAGUGUAUUUGUAUGUACUGUUACCAUUGGAAUGCAGUGGUGUAGUUGUGUGUAGUGUUUGCAUUUUAAUGCAGGGAUGUGUGAUUGUUUGUAGUGUUGGCUUUUAAAUGCAGGUGUACUUUUGUGUGUAGAGUUGGUGUUUGUAUAUAAUUUUAGUGUUUUAAUACAGGAAUGUGUUUGCAUGUAAUGUUUGUAUUUGCAUGCAGGGGUGUUUGGAUGUAGUGUUGUCUUUUAAAUACAUGUGUACAUUUGUGUGUAGUAUUAGUGUUUCAGCAAACUGGUGUGUUUGUAAUGUUUGUGUUUGCAGGGGUCUGUUUGCAUGUUGUGUGAUUUCUAUAACACAUAUACACAUACACAUUAACACGCAGAUACACAUAUGCUCACACUGACACAUGCUCACACCUUGACACAUACUGGCACAUACACACACACUCAGAUACACACCCUUUGACACACAGAUACAAGCACUUUGAUAUACACACACUGGCACAAUACACACACACACACACUGACACAGGUAUACACACACACACUCAGAUACACACAUACAUAAAGGUAUAAAUGCAGGGGUGUAUAUGUGUACAGUGCUAGAGAUGGAAUGUAGGAAUGUAUUUGUGUUGGCAUUAAAAUGCUGGGAUGUAUGCAUUACCACACACUCAGAUGCACACUUACACACACACACCGAAACACACACACACAGGUGCACAUACAGGUGUAUGAGGUAUACAUACACACAGAAACACUGACACACAGACAAACACAGCCAGAUACACACAAGGACAUAAACACAGCCAGAUACACACAUAUAUAUGUGUACAUUUACAUAUUUUAAUCUCUGCCUUCUAGCAGCUCUUGGACAGCAACUCCCAGUAACCUUGGCCAAUAUAAUGUCUCAACUCUGUUCUUACAUACCCUGGUCCAGAAUUUGGCAAAAGUGACAUUUGGAAAUGGUAUACAGCCUUUGAUAACACUUGAUGCAAUAAUAUGUUAAAAUAAAUACUUUUUAAAUUUAUAUUUAAUAGGGAACUGUCAGGUUCUUCUAGGAUUUCUAACAUGUACUUAUUCCCUGUGUGUUACAUUACAAACACCAACACACUUAAAUAAAAGUGAUAUCAGAAAUUAGCAAAACAAAAAACAAAACAUAUUUAGCCACCCUCCUGUCUCCUUACAUUUUGGGUACAGAAAGGUGGCUUCCCUGGGGUCCAGUGAGACCCUGCUGGCCCGGGCUGAUGGGAGUCUGCCAUCAGCUUUCUCAGUCCCUCUCCCCCACAAUGCUUGCAUCCUCCUCCAUGUGGUGUGUGCCUCCUCCCCAGCGGCACUGAGAAGGAAGUGAUCAGUUCUUACUGGGAGCAAGCAAUCUGACCUCACUUCCUCCCAGCAUGCCCAGGAAACAAAGAGACUCACAGGGCAGUAUGUGAGGGGGCUAGCUGUGAGUAUGUAGUCAGCCACCCCCCAUAUAACAGGGGCCUGGGCCGGUCCAGAGCAGUAUUAAAGGGCUGUGGCCCCUGAUUACCUCAGGUGCCGCAGGGGGCCCAUGGGGCAGCUGCCCUAGGGCCCCCAGGAGUAACUGGGCCCGGGGCAGCUGCCCCUUUUGCCCCUCCUUAAAGACGGCCCUGCACCUGCCACAUUCCAACGAAUGAUGGACAGAAUUCUUAAACCUCAUGUUCGUUAUGCUGCAGCAUACUUGGAUGAUGUUGUCAUCCACAGUGCAGACUGGAAUUCCCACCUCCCCAAAGUUCAAGCGGUGCUUGAUGCUAUCCGCUCAGCGGGCUUAACUGCCAAUCCUUCCAAGUGUACGAUUGGUUUAGAGGAAGCAAAGUACUUAGGUUAUUCUAUUGGGAGGGGUUUGGUUAAACCACAGGAAGCCAAAGUAGAAGCCAUACAAAAAUGGCCACAGCCCCUUACAAAGAAACAAGUAAAGGCAUUUUGGGGUUUAAUUGGAUAUUAUAGGUGGUCCAUCCCAGAUUUUGCUACCAUUGCUGCACCUCUAACAAACCUUAUUAAAGCAAAAUCCCCAGUCAUAGUUAAAUGGUGCCCUGAGGCAGAAAAGGCUUUUAAGAGUCUGAAGGAAGCUAUCUGUAGCCAUCCUGUCUUGGUGACCCCAGAUUUUUCCAGGGACUUUAUAGUUCAGACAGAUGCUUCUGAUGUUGGCUUGGGGGCUGUUCUUUCAUAGGAAUACCAGGGUGAAGAACACCCUGUUUUCUUUUUGAGCAGGAAGUUAAACCCACAUGAGAAGAACUACUCUAUUGUUGAAAAAGUGUCUUGCUAUUAAGUGGGCAUUAGACUCUCUUAAAUACUACCUGCUAGGCAGAAAGUUUCGAUUGAUAACAGACCAUGCACCUCUGACAUGGAUGUAUCAGAACGAGGAAAAUAACUCCAGAGUAACCAGAUGGUUUUUGAGUUUACAAUCUUUUAAUUUCACUGUGGAACACAGGGUUGAUCUGCAACAAGGUAAUGCUGAUGGGCUUUCGAGGGUACACUCUCUGAUUUCCAUGGUCGCUCAAACCCAUGGGUAUGAGCUGGGGGGGGGAGGAUAUGUGAGCGUAAAAGUGGAAUUGUGGUUGAUGGAAGAUACAUCAGGCCUGAUUUGCUAAACAGCAACCUGAGAAUUUUCAGUUAAAUGCCCCAGGGAGAGAUGUUAGAGUUUGCAAUCUACAUUGCUGAGGUUCUGCAAAACAUGGUAUGGGUCCCUGGGGCGGAGUAUUUGGAGAGCAGGGUGGGCCAAUGCUCCAACAGCACUAGUUGCUGUGUAACUGUGACGAUACCUUACCUGUGUCUGCCGAUCCCGCGCAGCACGGCGGUUUCCCCGGCUGCUUCCGGGAGGCGGCGCAGCCUGUUAGACGCUGCCCACUCGCGGCGAAAUCAGUUUUAUGACGCGCCGACGUCAUGAUAGUUUUGCCGCGAAAAUUCAAACGCGGUCACGCUCCCGGACCUUUGGGGGCGUGGCUUUAAAGUGACACACACAUCAGUAUAAAAGGGCAUCCCUGUCCACCCCUCAGUGCCCUAGUGUGGUUCUUGAUUGUUCCUCUGGUGCUCUUAUACUUAGGUAACAGUUUUUCUGGUAUUUUGACCCUUGGCUUCCGUACUGACGAUUCUCCUAUCUGGCUCCCCGACUUUUGGCUUGGCUUUCUCGUUUAUUCUGAUUUCUGUACUCCCUUGAUCCAUGACUUUUCUCUUGACUAUUCUCUGACGUUAAGUCCGGCCACCCUAAGGUCCGGUAUACGUCCAUUUCUGGGUUACCAUCUGUGUGAAGGGGUCACUGUCGUGACAUUACACUAAGGCCAUGGACCCUGCAGGUGCUAAUCCUCAUGGCCCGGUUCCUGAUAAUCGGUUUGAGGAACUGGACCAUCGUAUGGACCAGUUUGCUGUAGCUGUUCAGACCCUGUUAGCUCGGACUGCACAUCUACAGCCAGAGGACCAUAUCCCGGGUCAUAGACCUCAGGAACCUCAUAUGGAGAUGGCGGCAGGGGGGGCUUCUGCCCAUGCCACAUCCCCUCUCCGUUAUGGAGGUGAUCCCAAAGGUUGUCGGGAUUUCCUCAAUCAAAUUAGUAUUAACUUUGAACUUCAUCCUAAUGAUCUUUUUUUACCGAAAGAUCAAAGAUUGGUUAUAUUAUAAUGUUGUUAGUCGAUAGAGCACUAGUUUGGGCCAAUCCAUUGUGGGAAAACGACAAUCCCAUAGUUUUUAACUACGCAGAGUUUGUCGCAGCCUUUAGGAGAACAUUUGAUCCCCCUGGAAGACGUACUAAUGCUGCUAAAACCGUCUUACGAAUGAGACAAGGGUCUCGUUCCCUGGUUGACUAUGCCCUGGAAUUCCGCACUCAUGCUGCAGAGGUCAGAUGGAAUGAGCAGGCCUUUGUAGAUGUGUUCAUGAAUGGAUUUUCUGACAAGCUUUUAGACGAGGUAGCUACCCGAGACCUCCCUAAUGUGUUAGAGGAAUUGAUUAGAUAUCUAGCACAUAUAGACGAACAUCUCCGACAUAGACAAAACACCAGGGAUAGACCUAGGCGUGUGCCGGAAUGCCUGGCAUUGACGUUCCCUUCGUCUGAGGAAACCACUGUCGCUCCAGCAGAACCCAUGCAAUUGGGAGCCACACGGUUGCCUGAACCUGAGAGACAAUAUAGACGAAGGGAGGGACUUUGUAUGUAUUGUGGGAAAAGAGGACAUACCCACCUACACUGCCCAAGCAGGCCGGAAAACUCCAACGCCUAAGCCCUCAAGGAGGACGGGCCUUGGGUGUAACGUGUAUGUCCUCCUUCCAAGACAGGAAAGAGCUCAGGCUUCUUCUACCGAUAACCAUAGAAUGGGAGGGAAAGAUAAUAACUACCUCUGCGCUGAUAGAUUCUGGGGCAGCUGAGAACUUUAUCGACCGUACUUUCGGCCAGCAUCACAACCUCCCAUUUCGAGAAAGAUCAACACCCUUGGCCGUUGAGGCCAUAGAUGGUAGACCACUAUCCAUUCCUUUUAUUACUCAAGAAUCCAAACCCUUAGUCUUGACUGUAGGUUUGUUGCAUAAAGAAACCAUAACCCUACAGCAAAUACCUUCUCCCACCUUUCCGAUUAUACUUGGGUUUCCUUGGCUUACCAAGCAUAAUCCUCUAAUUAACUGGGAGAGAAAAGAGAUUGUGAAAUGGGGUGACUAUUGUUAUAAGGAGUGUAUCAGUCGAGUUAAACCUAUAGGACUCCUCAACGUUCCUACCAUGGAACCAAUAACCACUCGAGUACCCGAACCAUAUCGGGAUCUCAAGGCAGUCUUUGAACCAAGGGAAGCAAACAAAUUACCACUACAUCAUUCUUACGGCUGCGCUAUUGAUUUGUUACCCGGUACUAUGCCCCCUAGGGGUACCGUGUAUCCCCUCUCUGUGACAGAAAACAAAGUACUUGAAGAGUACAUCACAGAGAAUUUGAAGAAGGGUUUUAUUACCAAGUCAUCCUCCCCGGCUGGUGCAGGGUUUUUCUUUGUUUCCAAAAAGGAAGGUGACUUGAGACCCUGCAUCGACUAUCGGGGAUUAAAUAAAAUAACAGUAUGAAACGCAUAUCCAAUUCCGCUCAUUACUGAGCUUUUUGAUAGGUUGAAGGGAGCAACCAUAUUCACUAAACUAGAUUUACGGGGAGCUUAUAAUCUAGUUCGAAUUAAGAAGGGACAUGAGUGAAAAACGGCUUUUAAUACUCGCUAUGGCCAUUAUCAAUAUAGGGUUAUGCCCUUCGGCUUAUGCAACGCCCCGGCAGUCUUUCAAGAUUUCAUAAACGAUGUAUUAAGGGACUAUCUACAAACGUUUGUUGUUGUCUAUUUAGACGACAUACUCAUCUACUCUAAGAAUAUCAAGGAGCACCAGAGACACGUUAGGAUAGUUCUAUCUAAAUUAUUGAAAAACGGACUCUACUGUAAACUAGAAAAAUGUUUGUUUGACGUGGAGAAGGUUAAUUUCUUGGGUUACAUAAUUUCAGGUUCAGGCUUUCAAAUGGAACCUAAAAAAACUGGAAGCAAUUUUAAAUUGGCCCAUACCCAUUGGACUUAAAGCCAUCCAACGUUUCCUGGGGUUCGCUAAUUACUAUAGAAAGUUUAUCAGAGGAUUUUCCUCUAUUACCGCUCCUAUUACUGCUAUGACAAAGAAGAAUAGAAGUCAUACAGUGUGGAGUACCGAAGCUAAGGAAGCCUUUGAAAAAUUGAAGCUAGCCUUUUCUUCAGCCCCGGUGUUAAGUCACCCGAAUCCUUUGCGUCCUUUUUUGUUAGAAGUGGAUGCUUCAGAGACAGGGAUAGGGGCUGUACUCUCUCAGAGAUCCUCGAAUGAUCAACCCCUGCAUCCCUUUGGCUAUUUCUCUAAAAAACUGACGGAAACAGAACGAAGAUAUGAUAUAGGAGAUAGGGAAUUGUUGGCUAUCAUUUCAGCGCUCAAAGAAUGGCGGCAUCUAUUAGAGGGGUCAUCUGAACCGAUCAUCAUCCUCACUGAUCACAAGAAUCUUUCCUAUUUUGGAGAGGCAAAAAGAAUGUCUGACAGGCAGAUUCGUUGGUCUUUGUUCCUAACCCGUUUUAACUACAUAGUGAUGUACAGACCCGGUUCUAAGAAUACGAAAGCAGAAGCCUUAUCUCGACAACAUGAGCACCUAUCUCCUCCAGUAACCCAUUUAUCUUCCAUAAUCCCUACUUCACAAAUAGUCGCCACAGUCCAUACUAAAAUCUCUUCUAGCUUAAUGGAAGUAUUGUCCAAAUGCCAAGACCACAACUCCAUAACUAUCCCUCAGGGGAAAUUAUACGUACCUUUAAAUUAUAGGAGACGAAUUCUAUCCUUGGUACACGACUCUAAGAUUGUCGGUCAUCCCGGUAUCCAUAAGACAGAAGCACUACUUGAAAAGCAAUUCUGGUGGCCCUCUUACAAGAAGGACAUCCGAGAAUAUGUCCUGGCCUGUAACAUCUGUUCCUCUAAUAAAUCUCCUAAAAGUCGCCCUUUAGGCCUCCUCAUGCCGUUGCCUAUUCCCGAAAUGCCAUGGUCGAGUAUCGCCAUGGAUUUCGUAGUAGACCUGCCACCUUCAAAAAAUCACCGGGUAAUCCUAACUAUCAUCGAUAGAUUUUCCAAAAUGACCCACCUAGUCCCUUUAAUUAAACUUCCUUCAUCCUCCGAACUGGCCACGAUAUUUAUAAGGGAGGUGGUUCGUUUACACGGUAUCCCUACAUAUAUAGUCUCUGACAGAGGCUCACAGUUUAUUUCCAGGUUUUGGAAAGCGUUUUGUGAUCAGUUGGGUAUCAAACUUAAUCACUCCUCUUCAUACCAUCCCCAAUCCAACGGAGUUACAGCGAGAAUGAAUCAAUCACUAGAACAGUACCUUCGCUGCUUCACCUCCGAUCACCAAGAUGAUUGGAUGGAGUUACUCCCUUGGGCUGAAUUUGCCCACAAUAACUGGGUUCACGAGUCGACACAACAUAGCCCCUUUUCUAUAAAUUAUGGCUUUGACCCUAUUACUCUUCCGAGUUCCUUUUCAUCCUCGGCAGUGCCAAGCGUUGACUACACUGUAAAGAAUAUGAAAGAAACUUGGAUAGGGGUCAAGCGUAUCCUGACUCAAAAGGCCGAUGCUCAAAAAAGUAAAGCGGACACUCGGCGCAAAAAUGCUCCAAAUUUUAUAGUAGGGGAUAGAGUGUGGUUGAGUACACGCAAUAUUAAAUUACGAGUUCCCUCUAUGAAAUUCGCUCCGCGAUUCAUUGGUCCUUUUAGGAUUCUCCAACGGAUUAAUCCAGUCUGUUAUCGCCUGGACUUACCGGCUAAGAUGAGGAUACCCAAUUCCUUUCAUGUUUCUCUUCUGAAACCCAGGACUCCUCUUUCUACACUCAUUGAUGGCCAAGACGAGGUUAAAUCUAUUUUAGACUCUUGUGUCUCUAGAGGUCGGCUCCAGUAUCUGGAUUGGAAGGGAUACGGCCUCGAGGAAAGGUCAUGGGUGGAUGCCUCGGACGUGCACGCGCCUCGCCUAGUCCGUUCCUUUGCUAGGCGUCGUUCUCGCGGGCCCUGUCCCCCCCUGCCCUGGGGGCGGUCCUCGAGUGGGGGUACUGUGAUGAUACCUUACCUGUGUCCGCCGAUCCCGCGCAGCACGGCGGUUUCCCCGGCUGCUUCCGGGAGGCGGCGCAGCCUGUCAGAUGCUGCCCGCUCACGGCGAAAUCAGUUUUAUGACGCGGCGCAUGCGCGCCGACGUCAUGAUAGUUUUGCCGCGAAAAUUCAAACGCGGUCACGCUCCCGGACCUUUUGGGGGCGUGGCUUUAAAGUGACACACACAUCAGUAUAAAAGGGCAUCCCUGUCCACCCCUCAGUGCCCUAGUGUGGUUCUUGAUUGUUCCUCUGGUGCUCUUAUACUUAGUUAACUGUUUUUCUGGUAUUUUGACCCUUGGCUUCCGUACUGACGAUUCUCCUAUCUGGCUCCCCGACUUUUGGCUUGGCUUUCUCGUUUAUCCCGAUUUCCGUACUCCCUUGAUCCUUGACUUUUCUCUUGACUAUUCUCUGACGUUAAGUCCGGCCACCCUAAGGUCCGGUAUACGUCCAUUUCUGGGUUACCAUCUGUGUGAAGGGGUCACUGUCGUGACAGUAACAGACCACAAUUUAGAUCUGACUUAAGAGUUCACUAAUUGGCACUCACCUGUAGCUGGUUAAUUAGUAGACAGGCCUUUAAAAGAAGAGGGCAGCCUGCUGCAGAGUGAGGGAGAAAAAGACAGCUAGGAGAGUGAACGACAAUAGUGUUUAUUGCAAAGCCAUUUCUUUUUUUUGGAAAAUUGGUAAGUGGGAAAGCCACCCAAUUACAGAUAGUAAUUCCUGUCUAGUAAGAGCAAGGGAUUUUGUUUGUUUGUUGUUAUUUAAAGCACCUGUUUUCUUAUUGAAUAAAAAGGAAAACCGAGCUGAAUGUGCCCUGCACUUUGUAUACCCUAGAAGGCUGUGGUUACUGCAAGAUCUGUGACAAUCCUACCUGUAAAAGAGGUGGUUUGUUACAAGAUAAUGCCUCUAACGUCUAACUGCUCAAUUCUCUGCCAUUUAGGAGUUAAAACGUCUUUGUGUCUGUUCUGUUCACGCAGACUGCAUUAAAAAAAUUGUUUAAUUUUCAAUCAUAUUUUACUUGCUUUAGAAGUUUUUAUCUCCUGCUUUGUAAAUUGAACUUAAAUUACAUACAGGAGGCUCGUGCAAGGUCUAACAAGAUAUUAAUACUGCAGGAGAUAAGAAAUCCUAAAUUAAAGCGUCACUGUCAUGCCGAACUUACCUUUCUUUAAUCGAUUCCUCUUCUUUCCUUCAGGAUCUGUUCUUCAUUUCUUCUUGUCUGCUCUAGUUUUCAUAAGACAAAGUAGGGACUAUUUGUCUUAUGGAGGUUUCCUAUGCCUGACCAUCUCUGACCAGCGGAGGAGCAAAGUGUGCUUCAUUUCCAGUGGUCAGAGCAAUUUUCCCAAAAUUCUCACCUUUCCUACGUGUUCCCGCUAAGCCUCCUUUCACUUUUCCCGAACUUCCUGUCAUUUAGACAGAAAGCCAGUGAAACUACAGAACGAGAACAGUUUCUCCAUUCGUGUUAGGAUGCAAUUCAGGACUUUGUUCGGAUCAGAAUGAAUGAAACUCUGAUUAUUUUCGUGCCCAAGCCCCUAGUCACCCCCCCACCCAAACAAAAGAACUAAGUACCUGUAAAAUCUUUAUUUUUCAGCCCCAUAAAGGCCAAAUAAAAAUCCAUAAUAUUUAUCGAAUUUUUGAAAAUACAAACCAAAAAAAACACGAGCGCCAAAAAAAUAAGACGAAAAAGAAAAAAACUGACGCUACAAAAAUAAUCCAUCUUCAUCCAUGGAGGGCACGGCACAGACUGAGCUCCGCAGUGUGGGGAAAGGCUUAUAAAGCCUUCCCCUGCACUGCAAUUAGACUCAGAGAGCUCUGAUUGGUUGGUUUAAGACAACCAGAGUGCUCUGACAGGUAAAUGAAGAGACUGUCACAGCACUCUGAUUGGAGGCUUGAAAUCCAGGCUGUUUUCACUCCUCCCACGAGAAGAAUGCUGGGUCAGAGCAUUGACCCAGCAUUCCGCAUGCGUGAAAAACUGCUUCCCAGGUCCUACCUCUCACUAACGAAGGGUCUACUCAUCACAACUUACCACGGGACCACAAGGGCUGGCAAUGUCCCCCCUCCUUCACCAAAUGUAAGAUGAAGGGGGGGCGGGGAAAUUUUUUUUUCGCAAAUGCAUUUUAAAUAAAAUUAGCAAAAAUUACUCUUAUCCUACCCUCUCACAUACACACGUCUGCCCUCACAUACAUAUUGCACUCUUUACAAACACACACAGCACCCCCCCACCCCCACACACACAGCACCCUUUAUAUACACACACACAGCCCACCCAUCACAUACACACAUUGCACCCCUUACAUACACACAGAGCACCCCUCAUCAGUGGUGUAUCCUGGUUUUGUGCUGCACUAGGCAGGACAAAACUUAGGCAACCCCCUCCCCCGGCGCCACCCCCACCCAACCCUUCCCCCAUGCCCCACCUUCCAAAUACACACACACACACAGUCAGACACACACACACACAGUCAGACAAAGACACACACAGUCAGACAGUCAGAUACACACACACAUUAACACUUUUUUUUUAUUUACUCCCCCCCCCGCCUCCUUACCUUUGGGAGUGGCUGCCGGUCGGGCUGAUGGUCUGGCUACUGGGCGCUGGGCAGGCGGCUGGCGAGGGAGCACUUCCUGUGAGCGGUCUGCUCAGCUCCCUCGCGCACCGCAGAGUGAGGCUGGGACCCGGAAUAUGACGUCAUAUUCCGGCUCCCAGCCUCACUCUGCGGUGCGCGAGAGAGCUGAGCAGACCGCUCACAGGAAGAGCUCCCUCGCCAGCCGCCCACCCAGCCCAGCAUGUCUGUUAGCCACAAGGCUAACAAGACAUUUGACCUGGGCAUUUGGGGGCGGCGUUUUUUGCCGCCCCCUGAAAAAUGCCGCCCAAGGUAAAUGCCUUGUUUGCCUCACGGCUAAUAUGUCCCUGCCCCUCAUACAUACACAGCGCACCCCUCAUAUACACACAUUGCACCUCUCACAUACAUACAGAGCAACACUCACAUACACACAGGGCACCCCUUACACACACAGAGCACCCCUCAUACACACACAGCACACCCCUCAUACACACACAGCACACCCCUCACACACACACACACACUCAACCCCUCACAUACACACACUCAACCCCUCACAUUCAGACACAGCACCUCUCACACACACAGCACCACACACAUGGCACUCCCCACAUACUGCACCCCUCACACACUAUUAGCUUUGUUAUAUUUGGUUUUAUUGUUGUGAUAUUACUGCCAUUUGAUCCCUGAGGAAGGUCCACUGUUGGAAUGAAACGUGUAGGAUCUACAUUCCUCAAUUUUAUAUUCAAAAGCUGAUGGUGAUUGCUCAACUUUUUAUAAUAAAACUGCUGAUACUUUUUUCAACUUAUACCUACUGGAGUGUGAUAGAAUUUAUCUUGAUUCCAAGGCUCAAGCUUAUAGGUGUCAUAUAAUGAUAUCCUAUAUUAAAAUUGGCUUACUUGGACUCAGGAAAUGCUUGAUGCUUAAACAACACUUAAGACCAUAUAUGUCUAAGUUCCGGGAGCAGAGAGCCCCCACCUAAGAUGUCUCUGCUCUAAUCAUUUUGUUCUCUCUUACCUUGAAACUUAUUUGUUAUGUGUACAUGACACUCAUCUCUAUGUCUUAUCUGUACUCUCUUCCUAUUACUGUUCUAUGAGUAUUUGCACGUAAGCACUUACUUUUUAAUGUAUAAAACCCAGCUGAUGAAUAAAACGUCAGAGGCUUAUUUUGAAUACCAACAGGUGUCUGGUGUCUAAUUCUCGCUUCUCCAAGUGCACUUGUAACAACAAUUUGGGCUUCCUCUGAAUAUAACAAAGAUCAACAUUUCUGAUCCACAACAGGAGUCUUACUUUACAUCUAUUCCACUGGAGUGGAAGUAGUAGAUAAAGCCUCCCAACAACAUCGGGGGAGGCACCCUUGAGUGUAUUAUACGUCUCAAUCCUAUUUUGAACAGCCGUAUCCCACAUGUUUUUUGUCUUUCUAUAUAUGGUGUCAGGAAUACAUGUUUGUAUACCUGACACUAUAGUGUUCCUUUAAGCAAAAUAAAGGAACAUUCUGGUCACCAUAACAAAUUCAUCUAAAUGAAAAUGCUAUGAUGCCAGGAAGCCCCUGAGUACUCUCUCUCCUUUAAGUGAUUCCUUUAAGGUGCUCUCAAAUGGUUUAACCCCAAAGGCUUACUCCAGCUCCAGAUCUCCACGGUGCUCAGUGGUAUUUUGCUUCUGAAACGGAGUUUCAGGAAGUGCAGAUUGACGUCAGGCAUGGGUGCUGCAGAUUGGCUAGAGUGGUCAGUUGACUCUCUAAGCCAAUCGCUAGUUCCUGGUUCAUAAAAAUGUUUUACUUUUUCAUGAAUAGUGAGCUACUGAUUAGCCAGCUGACCACAUUAGCCUAUCAGCGACACACCCCUACCCAAUGACACUCUGUGCUUCCUUACACUCAGUAAAUAAAAGUGAACACAUUAACACUGAUAUUUUUUUCUUACUUGGGGAGAUGAGAAGGUCCAAAGUUUCCCUGCCACGCCCAGGUACCAAAGCCUUAUGAUGUGGUGUCCAGAAUAAAGUGGAGGGUUCACUUCACUUGUCCUUCCUGCUCCAAUCUCCUUUUCUUCUCCUUCAUUUGACAGUCUUUUUUUUUCUUCUGACUCCUUAGCUCCUUCGGCUCCUUUACCUUUCUGAUACUUUCUGCUUAUUUUGCGCCCUUCUGCUCCUUUCUCUUUCUGAUCCUUGCAGACCCAUUCUGCUCCUUCUCCUAAUUUACCUUUGUGCUCCUUCUGCCCCUUCCAGCUCAUUGCUACCCUUUUCUGCUUCUUUACCUUUGUGCUCCUUCUGAUUUUUUUCUGCUCCUUUACCUUUGUGCUCCUUUGGUCCAUUCUUGCUCCUUGCUGCCCCAUUCUUGCUCCUUGCUGCCCCUUUCUGCUCCUUGCUGCCCCUUUCUGCUCCUUGCAGACCUUUCCUCUUUCUUGCUGACCAUUCCUGCUUCUUGCUGACCCUUCCUGCUCCUUGCUUACCCUUCUUGCUCAUUCUGCUCCUUAUCCUACUUUACCUUUGUGCUCCUUCUGCCACUUCCAGUUCAUUGCUGAUCCUUUCUGCUCCUUGAUGUCCCUUCCUGCUCAUAUCUGUUCCUUCUCCUUUCUGCUCCUUCUCCUACUUUACCUUUGUGCUCCUUAUGUCCCUUCCUGCUCCUUGCUGCCAUUUCCAGCUCCUUGCUGACCCUUUCUGCUCCUUGCUGCCCCGUUCUGCACCUUCUCCUCCUUUACCAUUGUGCUCCUUCUGCCACUUGCUGUCCCUACCUGUUUCUUUCUGCUCCUUCUUCUACUUUACCUUUUGUGCUCCUUCUGAUUCUUUAUGCUCCUUCACCUUUGUGCUCCUUCUGUAUUUUCCUGCUUCUGCUGCCCCUUUCUGCUCAUUGCUUACCCUUCCUGCCCAUUUCCAUUCCUUUGUGUUCCUUCUACCACUUUACCUUUGUGCUCCUUCUUAUUCUUUCUGCUCCUUUACAUUUUUGCUCCUUCUGUCCCUUUCUGCUCUUUGCAGACCCUUCUUUCUCCUUGCAGACCCUUCCUGCUACUUGCAGUCCCUUCCCGUUCCUUGCUGUCCCUUCCUGCUCCUUGCUGACCCUUCCAUCUCUUUUCUGCUCCUUCUCAUACUUUACCUUUGUGCUCUUUCUGAUUCUUUCUGCUCCUUUGUGCUCCUUCUGUUCCCUUUUGCUCCCAGCAGACCAUUCCUGCUUCUUGCAGACCCUUCCUGCUCCUUGCUGCCUUCCAGCUCAUUGUUGCCCCUUUCUGCUCCUUGUUGCUCCUUCUACUAAUUUACCUUUAUGCUCAUUCUGUCAAUUUCUGCUCCUUGCAGACCCUUACUUCUCCUUGCAGACCCUUCCUGCUUCUUGCUGCCCCUUGCUGCUUCUUCUCCUGUUUUACCUUUGUGCUCCUUCUGAUUCUUUCAGCUCUUUUACCUUUGUGCUCCAUCUGUCCCUUCCUUCUCCUUGCAGACCCUUCCUGUUCAUUACAUACCCUUCCUGCUCCUUGCUGCCCCUUUCUGCUUCUUGCUGACCCUUCCUGCUCAUUUCUAUUCCUUCCAUCUCCUGCUGCUUUACCUUUGUGCUCCUUCUGAUUCUUUCUGCUCAUUUACCUUUGUGCUCCUUGCUGUCCCUUCCUGCUCUUUGCUGCCCCUUUCUGCUGCUUGCAAACCCUUCCUUCUCCUUGCUGCCCCUUCCUGCUCCCUGUAGACCUUUUCUGCUGCUUGCUGCCCCUUCCUGCUAAUUUCUGCUCCUUCUCCUACUUUACGUUUGUGCUCCUUCUGCCCCUUCCAGCUCAUUGAUGACCCUUCCUGCUCCUUGAUGUCCCUUCCCGCUCAUUUCUGUUCCUUUUACUUUACCUUUGUGCUCAUUCUGUCCAUUCCUGCUCCUUGCUGCCCUUUCCAGCUCCAUGCUGACCCUUUCCGCUCCUUUCUGCUCCUUCUACUUUACAUUUGUGCUACUUUACCUUCCAGCUCUUUGCUGACCCUUCCUGCACCUUCCUGCUUCUUUCUGACCCUUACUUCUCCUUGCUGUCCCUUUGUGUUCCUUGCAGACCUUUGCUGCUCCUUGCUGCCCCUUCCUGCUCAUUUCUGUUCCUUUGUGCUCCUUCUCCUACUUUACCUUUGUGCUCCUUGCUGAAAUCUCCUGUAGGCUGUCUCACCCAACCCUCACUUACCUGAUCUGUAGGUGGAUCCCCCCAUCUCUAACUUACCUGAUCUGUAGGUGGAUCCCCCCAUCUCUAACUUACCUGAUCUGUAGGUGGAUCCCCCAUCUCUCACUUACUUGAUCUGUAGGCUCCCACCCCAUCUCUCACAUACCUGAUAUAUAGGCUGUCUCCCCUCCCCCCAUCCCUCACUUACCUGAUCUAUAGGCUGUCUCCCCUUCCUCCAUCCCUCACUUACCUGAUCUAUAGGCUGCCCCCCCAUCCCUCACUUACCUGAUCUAUAGGCUGCCACCCCAUCCCUCACUUACCUGAUCUAUAGGCUGCCACUCCAUCUCUCACUUACCUGAUCUAUAGGCUGCCACCCCAUCUCUCACUUACCUGAUCUAUAGGCUAGCUGCCCCCCUGCAGACUCAGUCAUGAAAGAGAAGCAAGGAUAAGAUGUAGCUUCCUAUCCUUGUCUCUCUCCGUUCACAGUGCCACCUAAUGGCCGGUGCGGUAUUGCAGUGUAUUCUGAAUCUCACAUGAAAAAUAGCAGAACAAGCUGAAAAAUCCAGGGGGGGGAGGGGGCAAGUGCCCCCCUUGGCCCGCCUGCAGACACCAAUGAGUACCUGGAUCACUACUUUAUUUCAUUAUUUCAUAUAUUGUUCAUUUAUAGACAUGACUAUAAUGAUGCCAGAACUUUUAACUAAAACUCUGGCCGUAUGAGUACAUAUAUGAAGACUCUCCACUAUAAAUCCUAAUCCUCUCAUUAUACACCCACAUUUCCAGACUUUUCAUGGUACAGUAUAUCAAAUUACCAUCUGUUUUUUUUUUUUUACGCCAUUAGACAUCCAUACCUAAUAUGAAAAUUAAUCGGAACAUAGAAUACAUAAUAGUCUACAAGCUGACUGAGUGUGACUGUUUGUGAAGUUGGUUUAGUGUGAUUGUGCAUGGAGUUGUGAUUGGGAUUUGGCUGCGUGUGAUUGAGUGUGAAUGAGUAAGAGCACUGCCAUGGUAAACUCGUGACAGCACUCUGACUCAUCGCUGGAACUGUGGAUUGCUUAAAAAGCUUCCUGCGGUUAAUUUGUUUGGCAUUGUAUUAAAAAAUGGUUCUGUAGGGGUGGAGUGGGGGGAGCCUAACCUAGGCCCCCCUUGACAGCCAGGACUAUGGGACCUGGUCACCCAGGUCGCACUAGUGACUGUUACAGCCCUAGUAGUUCUGCUGUGGCCCUGAGAGAAAUCUUGCUCUCUAAUUUCUCACACCUAAUGGGGCAGAUCGCAGCAAGAUUCUUUUAUGGCAAUCUACAGGGUAGAAGAGUAUUUGAUCAUAUAUUUAAUUUGCUAAAUAGCAAACUGCAAUAUAUAUAAGUACCAAAGAUUAAUUUGUUAGAAGUAGACACAUUUAUUUCCUUCGCUAGUCAUAAUGCUAUUACUAGCUGGCCUUUUUUGUCAGUUACACUAGAAAAAAAAGGCUUUUCAACAGGAACGAGAUCUACUCCAUAGAAACUGCAAUCGUCAUUACAUAUUUACUAGAUAAAGUUGCAGUUUCAAAGAAACAAAAAAAAAACUAUUAGUGUAAAUCUGGAGUAGAUUUGUUUGAAUGUGUUAUACCCCAGAUAGGAAUCCCAUGGAGCCCAUUCGUAUGAAACUGACUGUAAAGACUUUGGCUCCAUGGUGAUUAAACUGUAUUUGUGUGGUCUGAGCGCCAUUCACUUAAUAAUGUGCGCUCAGACCUGAACUAUCUGGGGAUAUGUUAAAUGUAUAGUUUUAAUGUAAGGUGUCUUACCUGGUGUAUUUUAAAGUGUUUUACUGUCUUUGUGUCCCCAUGUGCUCAAUGGAGUCUGCCUCUAUCCCUGGAUAAUUGGAUUACUUUCCCCAGUGUCCAGGAUAGAGGGCUCUGUAAAACCUGUUUGAGCCAGAUAGCCAUGCUGCCAGCCAGGGUACAAAAGAUACUUUUUACUAACUUUUGAACCCCUGGUCUGAUUCAUGCCAUUUUUUAAUAUGUUGUUCCCCUGAAUGGAUUGAUUGUGAAUAUGUAAUUUUAUGUGAAUGUGAUGUAUGGUUUUAGAGUUAUGGAAGUUGGGUAGAAAGUAUGUUUUAACUGUAUGUGUAAUUGAGUUUCCUCUCAGGAUAAGGGGAGGGAAUAUGUGGGAUGUAACUGUGAUGUGAUUGGUUGUUUUAUACCUCCCUGUGGGCGGUCCUGUAUUUGCAAGACUGUAAUAAAUACCAGGCUGGGUGUGCCAGCACCUCAGACCACUGCUUGACCCUCAACACGGAGCCUUGUCUCGUUCUUGGGGGGAUUCACUGUAUGCUGUUAGAGACUGAUUGCCAGGAGUGUAAGCUGAUUGUCUGCUUUUCCUGUUCAUCUGCUAGCAGCUAUUUGGGAGGUUCCAGUUCGGGAGUUGGAGUGCUAUUUUGUAUCCAGUUCGGGAGUUUGGUGUUCUGCAGUAGCUGUGCCUGUAUCUCUGGAAAGGGGGCCGAUGCCUAAACGGUUUUUACCCCUUGUGUGCAAAACGGUCCGUUACAAUUGGUGGCAAGCGGCGGGAUCGUUCCUACAGCCAGAAGGACAGCUACAGGAGACACCAUUUCUUUGGAUUUACAAGUGGGGGAAACGCAUGUCCCAGUACAGCGACCCUAAAAGCAACAGAAUGGAACCAGCAGUGUUAUACAAGAAGGAGGACCUGGAUGGCCGGGAUGCAUUAAGGAAAGGCAUCUGGUACCAGGCCCUGGAUAAUGUACAAUACCAGCGGGGUGAGAGUCUCCCCAGUGAAGAGCAGCGGUUGCAGAAGCAAGUGGCCCUGCGGAUGCCCUUCCUGGGAGAGCAGCCCCUGGAGGAAUGGGUGAAGGAACUAGAGCAUCGGGUAUGGCAGGAGCUAUGGCUGGAGGAUGCCUACCAGGCGCUCUGGUGGUAUAUGGCACAGUAUAUACCCUGGACAGCUGAGCAUGACAAGCCAGAGGGAGAGGAGUUUGAUGGUCCUGGCUUGUUAUGGGAGUCCUUUGCAGAGCCUGACUUCGGGAGCCCUGCGCAGAACAGACUUCAGGAAAUUUUCUAUGAGAGGGAGGCUAGGCAUGACUGGGAUGACCCCCAUGAGGUAGAGCAAGACCUGGCUCACCUAGCAACCCUGGAGUGGGAACUGGAGCAGGACUACCGAGAUCUCUUCCACUCCAUUGGGAAGUCUCCGCAGGACAGCAGAGUGACAGAUCCAGUCUCAGACCCAUUCAGCUGGGAAGAUAUUGUUGAAAUUUAUUGGGAGGAACCCCAGGUGGCAGGUGGAGAGGGGACCGAGGUCUCUCCACCGGUAUUGCAGGGAAUUGGGAGCCCAAGCUCCAUUCCCCAGCGGGAGAUAUUGCAGGGAAUUGGGAGCCCAAGCUCCAUUCCCCAGCGGCAGGCUGAGUUACGGGGGCAGAGGUAGUUGUUCCUGCCACCCAGCAGCAGAGUGAUAUGCCGGGAAGGCAGUGUGAAGUGCAGGGAGAGGAGAGCAGCGUCCUCCCUCCCCAGCGACAGGCUGAGUUACAGGGGGCAGAGGUAGUUGUUCUUGCCCCCCAGCAGCCAAGUGAUAUGCCAGGAAGGCAGUGUGAAGUCCAGGGAGAGGAGAGCAGUAUCCUCCCUCCCCAGCGGCAGCGUGAUUUUUUGGGAAUUGGGAGCCCAGUCUCCAUUCCCCAGCGGGAGAUAAAACAGGGAAUUGGGAGCCCAGUCUCCAUUCCCCAGCAGCAGAGUGUCCUACCAGGAAUAGAGAGCCCAGUCUCCUUUCCCCAGCAGCAGGACUCUGUAUUGGGAGCAGAGACAGUCGGUCUCCCUCCCCCGUGGCUGGAAGUAUAUAUGGGAGAGGAGAUUGUUACCCCCUCUCCCCAGCGGCAGCUUAAUGUACCCGGGGGAGACAGUAAGCCCCACAACUGUGCAGAUGGGACCGUGGUCUUUGCACAUACAGCAAAGGGGGUAGGGACGGUCGGUUCUGCCCCCCAGCGACAGGGCUGUGUAGCCAAAGGGGAGACAGUCGGUCUCCCCCUCCAACAACCAGGCUUCAACCAGGCUACCCUCCCAGUAGCGCUGGCAACAGGGCAGAGUGCCGCUUGUCUCUGCCCAUGCAGCACCCCACCAAGUCAGCGUACCCGUACCCAGCACAGCCGUGGUGAGGCACCUGGACAUGGACAAGCUUCUCCUCUACCCAGGUGUAGUAACCAUUUAUUGUGGGUGGGCAGGGAGAUUAUGUCUUGUGGGUGGGCUGCUGGACUAACAAGGGCACUUAGUAUAUAUACUGUAUAAUAUAUAUUCAGGUUCAGGAGACAAUCACAUUUAGUGUAAUUCAACAAUCCCAUAGUGGUACAUAAGAAAUAAGAUAGAUAGUAUAAGUCCAAUAUUAGCAGAUAUAAAUAAGGGUAAAUAUAUCCAAAAGAUAUAGACAUAGAUACUAUACAUGUAUCCUAAAAUUCCUACACAUAUCAUAAUUAGAAUUCCUAUAUAUAUCAUGUUAGUCUGUUUGGAAAAGGGUAGAGAUGUGACGAGACCAAUCUCGCCACAUUGCAUUGGAGAAGCCUGGUUACUCGCCUGCUGCCUUUGGACUAUGGCCCCCUGUUAAAAGACAUCUUUUUUAACCUGCAGAAAAGCAUCAUUCGUGCUUUUCUGCCUGGGGCUCGGUAGAUUUGUUUGAAUGUGUUAUACCCCUGAAAGGAAUCCCAUGGAGCCCAUUCGUAUGAAACUGACUGUAAAGACUUUGGCUCCAUGGUGAUUAAACUGUAUUUGUGUGGUCUGAGCGCCAUUCACUUAAUAAUGUGCGCUCAGACCUGAGCUAUCUGGGGAUAUGUUAAAUGUAUAGUUUUAAUGUAAGGUGUUUUACUGUCUUUGUGUCCCCAUGUGCUCAAUGGAGUCUGCCUCUAUCCCUGGAUAAUUGGAUUACUUUCCCCAUUGUCCAGGAUAGAGGGCUCUGUAAAACCUGUUUGAGCCAGAUAGCCAUGCUGCCAGCCAGGGUACAAAAGAUACUUUUACUAACUUUUGAACCCCUGGUCUGAUUCAUGCCAUUUUUUAAUAUGUUGUUCCCCUGAAUGGAUUGAUUGUGAAUAUGUAAUUUUAUGUGAAUGUGAUGUAUGGUUUUAGAGUUAUGAAAGUUGGGUAGAAAGUAUGUUUUAACUGUAUGUGUAAUUGAGUUUCCUCUCAGGAUAAGGGGAGGGAAUAUGUGGGAUGUAACUGUGAUGUGAUUGGUUGUUUUAUACCUCCCUGUGGGCGGUCCUGUAUUUGCAAGACUGUAAUAAAAACCAGGCUGGGUGUGCCAGCACCUCAGACCACUGCUUGACCCUCAACACGGAGCCUUGUCUCGUUCUUGGGGGGAUUCACUGUAUGCUGUUAGAGACUGAUUGCCAGGAGUGUAAGCUGAUUGUCUGCUUUUCCUGUUCAUCUGCUAGCAGCUAUUUGGGAGGUUCCAGUUCGGGAGUUGGAGUGCUAUUUUGUAUCCAGUUCGGGAGUUUGGUGUUCUGCAGUAGCUGUGCCUGUAUCUCUGGAAAGGGGGCCGAUCGCCUAAACGGUUUUUACCCCUUGUGUGCAAAACGAUCCGUUACAGUUAUAUAUAACCGAGUGAUAUGAAUUGUGUGAUUAAUAAGAUUAGCGAGUACUAUUUAUGUACGUGAGAUAGAAAAUCGAUCUAUAUUAAUCGAUUUUUUUGAAGAAUAUGAAAAUUAUAAUUAAAAACAUUAUUUGGGUUGUCAUGGAAAAAGUAUGUAUUUACAUCAAUAAUUUACACUUAUAAAAAGCUAUUCAGGGGGUAAGGUUCUAUUCAAGACCAGUUAGAUACUAAGAAUGCAUGAUACCUAGUAUAUAUACUGUAUAAUAUAUAUUCAGGUUCAGGAGACAAUCACAUUUAGUGUAAUUCAACAAUCCCAUAGUGGUACAUAAGAAAUAAGAUAGAUAGUAUAAGUCCAAUAUUAGCAGAUAUAAAUAAGGGUAAAUAUAUCCAAAAGAUAUAGACAUAGAUACUAUACAUGUAUCCUAAAAUUCCUACACAUAUAAUUAGAAUUCCUACAUAUAUAUAUAUCCUAGAAUUCCUAGAUAUAUCAUAGCUAUGAAUACAGACUCAUCCUUUCAAUCAUCUGUAUAUAUGUAGAGAUAUAUGUAGAACAUUAGUCAAAUUAUAGACCAUCGAAAAUACCUCCAUCUGAUCGACUACUAAUUUGAUCAUAGUAUCCAGUCUAGAGAAUAUAUAGAAAAAUCUUAAUUUCAAUUAUAUUUAAGGAUCUCAACAUCACAAAAAUACGGAGUAGACAAUGUUUUCAUUCAGUCCCUUAGGUGUCACAGUAUCUAGACGGUGUAUCCAACGGGCUUCUCUUUGUUACAACAUUUUAGACCGAUCCCCUCCUCUCGAAGGCAUAGGUAUAUGGUCAAUCACAGUAAAGCGUAAGGUCGGUAAGCGAUGUCCAAAGUCCAAAAAAUGUUUGGCCACUGGUUUGUCACUUGUUUUAUCCCGAAAAGCAGUGGUGAUGGUGGAUCGGUGGCCUCGUAUCCGAUCUCUAAGAGUCAGGUUAGUUUUUCCAAUGUAGGAUAAGCCACACGGGCAAGUAAUCAUAUAGAUCACAUGGUCAGUGGUUCAUGUAAUAUAUUGAUUGAUGUUUAUUCUUUGUCCAUUAUGUGGAUGGGCAAAUGAGGUUCCACUCACCAUGUGACUGCAGGUGACACAUCCACUGCAUUUAAAACAUCCCUUUUUAGUAAUUUUUUGGGGGAUUUGGUAACAGUGUCUAGGAUCAUUUUUUACAAGCAAGUCUCUGAGAUUUUUAUUUCGCUUAUAACUAAGUACAGGUCGGUUUUGGAAAGACUUCGACAAUUGCUUGUCAGCUUGUAAUAAUCCCCAAUGUUUAUUAAUGGAAUUUUUGAUAACUGAUGUACCAGUAUGGUAUGUCAUUGGAAUAUAUAUUUUAGGUAUUUUAGGUAUAGAAGUUCCUUUUUUCCUCCUCUCAACGCCUUGUUUUUCAUUUUCCCAUAUUUCUUUUGCUUGUGACUUAGCUAUAUUUAAAGUCUGAAUCAUAUAUCCUCUUGCCCUGNNNNNNNNNNNNNNNNNNNNNNNNNNNNNNNNNNNNNNNNNNNNNNNNNNNNNNNNNNNNNNNNNNNNNNNNNNNNNNNNNNNNNNNNNNNNNNNNNNNNAUUUUAACUUUUAAAACAUUUUAACAGCUCACGUUACAUUUUAACAUAGGACCCCUUAUUUGAUAGCAGCUUUACAAGUCUUGCAUCCAUUGAACUUGUGAGUUUUUGGACAGUUUCUGCUUGAAUUUGUUUGCAAGAUGUCAGAAUAGCCUCCCAGAGCUGCUGUUUGGAUGUAAACUGCCUCCCACCCUCAUAGAUCUUUUGCUUGAGGAUGCUCCAAAGGUUCUCAAUAGGAUUGAGGUCAGGGGAGGAUGGAGGCCACACCAUGACUUUCUCUCCUUUUAUCCCUAUAGCAGCCAUUGAUGCAGAGGUAUUCUUUGCAGCAUGAGAUGGUGCAUUGUUAUGCAUGAAGAUGAUUUUAUUACGGAACACAUAGUUCUUCCUUCUGUAUCAGGGAAGAAAGUGGUCAGUCAGAAACUCCACAUACUUUGCAGAGGUCAUUUCUACACCUUCGGGGACCCUAAAGGGGCCGACCAGCUCUCUUCCCAUGAUUCCAGCCCAAAACAUGACUCCACCACCGCCUUGCUGACGUUGCAGCCUUGUUGGAACAGGGUGGCCGUCCACCAACCAUCCACUACUCCAGCCAUCUGGACCAUGCAGGGUUGCACGGCACUCAUCAGUGAACAGGACUGUUUGAAAAUUAGUCUUCAUGUAUUCUUCUGCCCAAUCCAGCCAUUUCUGCUUGUGAGCAUUGGUUAGUGGUGGCCAAAUAGAAGGUUUAUGCCCAAUUGCAAGACUCUGGAGGACUCUACACCUUGAUGUCCGUGGGACUCCAGAGGCACCAGCAGCUUUAAAUAUCUGUUUGCUGCUAUGUAAUGGUAUUUUAGCAGCUGCUCUCUUGAUCCGAUGCAUGGAUCUGGCAGAAAUCUUCCUCAACAAAAUUGUCGCACAAAAGUACAUAUGUAUAUAAAAUAGACAUCACAAGCUAUUUACUUAAGGUUAUUUUGACACUUUUUAGAUAGCCAUUUCACCGCCAAUCUCUGCUAAAUAUUCUAGUGAAAUUGUGUUUUUCAGUGUUUUGACAUACAAACUUAUAACAAGGAUCUUUUGAUGGGUAUUUCUUAAAGCUGAUGUGUGCUAUUCCUGAACAAAAUUUAGUGUUCACCUACAUCUGCGGAGUACAAGUUUAUUUGCUAGUUUGUACCAAGUCUAGUAAUAGUAACCAUAUUUUCUGCCUUUUUGACACACACACUUGGAGAUGUUGCUGUAUAUUUUGCAAUUCUUAUGUGUGCUACAGCAGUAUAACACUUAAUAUGUUGCUCAGCUAUGUCAUCUUAGUACAGCAAAACCCUAUGUGUACCUCUUUCAAAUAUAUGUGCAUGUCGAAUUGGCAAAUUUGAGACAGACAUUUCAGUUUUUUUCAAACUCUCAAUUUUGAUGCUGGUUCUACGGUGAAUAUGUAGCAUUUUAACAGGUUGUUAAAAUACUACCCCACCAAAGGCCUACCAUUUCUUAAAGAAAAUAUUAAUCACUGUCAACCUGCAUCAAACUCUGAGGCACUGUCUGUCAACUCUCUUUUGCGGACAGAAUUCUGAAUCCGCCUCUGCACUGAAUUUCCUAAGCAUUUUAAACUUUUUACACAAGAACUUUAACUAAAUAAUGUUAUUAAUGAUUUUAUUUUUUUCAAUUUCGUAACACUAAACUCUUCAAUUUCCCAUGAAUUAUCACCCAUCCUAAUUAACUACAUAGAAUUAAAAAAUAAAAAUAAUAAAAUAAUCAGAGUCAGAUGACAAUUGCAGCAUCCUCCCUUGGCUCUGAACGUUGUCAGCAAUUAACGGUAGCACAAGCAUGACGAAAAGUUUUCGUCGGACAUCGUGAAAUGGUUAAAAGAUUAGUCCAAACAUAUAUAGCACCUUACCUUGCUGAAAUUCUUUAUUUGCGACAAGAGUCUCAAGUGUGUUUCAUUUUUAAAAAGUGCAGAUUUUAAAAGAAAUCAGAACUUUUAACAACAAAUAUUUUUAUAAAAACAUAGUACAGUAUACAAAUAUGAAGAAAAGUUCCACCAUUCCAAAAGUAACUCCCAUGCAGAUAUGACAUUGUAGAAAUUGACAGUUUUAUAAAAUGAAUGCUGAUAUACCUCCCUGGCUGUCAGCAUCUUCUAGUUUAGCUCUGUGGGGCUAAAUUCAAAUGCAGGUGCUUGUGCACAGAGUAUGUCUUCUCAGUAAGCUUAAAUAUAGCUCAAAUCGCUAUGAUUAUUCCCUUGCACAGAUAAGAAAGUCUGUUAAGGGGAUGAAGGGGUGGGCAGGCAGUAGCUGCAGAUUCUAUACAGGGCCGGUGCAAGGAUUUUUAUUUCUUUUAUUGCAUCAAAAAGGGUCCAGGGAGAUCAACGUUUCAGUCCCUAACUGGGACUUUCAUCAGGAAACGUUGAUCUCCCUGGACCCUUUUUGAUGCAAUAAAAGAAAUUUAUUUAAAGAAGACCGUGAGUGCAGACUUAUUACAUACUUGGAAUAUACAUAAACAUAUAUAUGUGUAUAAAUACACAAAACUCAAUAUAUAUAUUUGCUUUUUUAUGGAUUGUUCCUUUAAAACCAUAGAUAUGCAUAUACACAAAACACAUAUUAUGUCUUAUUUAUUUGCUUAUUUUAACCUAUUUUUUUUUUUUUUGUUGUUCUAGCAUCCGAACUAUACUGAUGUUCUAAGAGCGAAAUUCCUGUAACGUGUAUUAUCAACAGAACAGACAGCUCACCAUGUGGAAGAUAUAAAUGGAUAAUUGUUCUAGUUUCUUUUUUGGAUACUUUUUUUUCUUGAUUUGUAUAUUAAUACAAUAUUGCCAGAGUAUGAUAUUUUAAUUUUAACUGUAUUAGAAUGAAUACAUUUGGCAAAUGUGUAAUUCAUAUUCAUUUAAAAAGAUGUUGAAUUUGUACAUCUAGGCUCUAGGUGAUACCGCUUGUGCUAUAAAUGUUUUAUUAAAUUG